CAGCCGCAGGGCUCUGGGUCCAGCGUGGCCUUGAGUCUGAGCUCAGCAGGGCCCUGCCUGUGGUGGGCAGGAUGCUCAUGACCUGCUGCAGGGGGAGGGGCUGGCGGGGCUGAAGUCCCCCACACUCUGCUCAAAGGCUUGUGAGAGCCUGAGGGGUUGCCCCUGCCAGGAGAGAGGAGUGGGUUUUCAGGUCAAAGGCUCCAUGCAACAGGAAAGUCCAUGGGCCACUGGGACUGGGGCGGAUUGCAGGGGAUACCCUAAGACCUCACAGACUCUCUGGAGCUUGUCCCGGGCCAGGAGAACAGGGGAUUUAAUAAAAAGGGUCUUGCACCUGCAGCAAUGCUAUCCUCUUAUUCUCUUUGUCUUUGCAGGCUUUGCGGCCUCCUAUGAGCUGACUCAGCCACGUUCCGUGUCAGUGGCCCCAGGACAGACGGCCAGGAUUACCUGUGGGGGAAACAACAUUGGAAGUAAAUAUGUGCACUGGUACCAGCAGAAAUCAGGCCAGGCCCCUGUGCUGGUCAUCUAUUACAAUAGCAAUCGACCCUCAGGGAUCCCUGAGCGAUUCUCUGGCUCCAACUCUGGGAACACCGCCACCCUGACCAUCAGCGGGGUCGAGGCCGGGGAUGAGGCUGACUAUUACUGCCAGCUGUGGGACAGCAGUAAUAAACAUCCCACAGUGACACAGGCAGAUGGGGAAGUGAGACAAAAACACCCUCCCAGCCUCUGUCACCCUCUACUCCAGCCUCGGGAGGCCUGUGGAUAA
Non-coding RNA from Cebus imitator (Panamanian white-faced capuchin), 763 nucleotides. NCBI's taxonomy places the organism in Eukaryota, Metazoa, Chordata, Mammalia, Primates, Cebidae. The record is from the annotation of a RefSeq genome assembly.